Non-coding RNA from Phalacrocorax carbo (great cormorant), 1927 nucleotides. NCBI's taxonomy places the organism in Eukaryota, Metazoa, Chordata, Aves, Suliformes, Phalacrocoracidae. The record is from RefSeq and is a predicted model, not a curated record.
GGCCCUUGUUCCGGCGGCCGGUGUCAGGGCCUGGCCCGGGGCAGUGACCGCCGAAGGGCCGCCAUGGAGGAGGGGGGGGCAGUUAAUGCACCAGGUUCCUUCUAGAGGCACCCUUCAGGUGCUCGGUAAACGCGCUCAGGGUGGCUCCUCCUAUUUUAUUAUUGAUUUAUCACUUAGCACGCAGGUUUCCGUCCACCUAACAUGGAAGAGACCCACUCUUACUGCCAUCAAACAAGCGCCACCGAGCCCCGGGCGCAGCUCCGUGCUCUGCCUGAUGUACAGCCCUGUAAUAGAGGGAACCUGUGGAGGAAAAGCAGAGAUCAUCUGUCAUGUCAAAACCCACAAAUUUCCAUAUGGCAUCAAAACUAUAGAAGCUCAAGGGGGAAUCCACGUUUACUUAAUUUUUGGCAUUCGGGUGUUCCAGUGAGGACUUUGGUUGUAUUAAACCUCCCUACAGUCAACGUGGCGACAGAGUUCCUGCCAGAGGGCAAAUCAGAACUGAUUUAAGUGCUCUGACUCAUUUUCUGAAGGAGCUUCUGAUACUGGAAACUAAUAUUAGAUGUCUAAUGUUAGGCAUUAUGGUUACAUCCCUCAGUGGCAAUGUCAAAUAAAGUGAUAAAGAUGUCUUCCCUGUAAAUAAUGCAUUAAAUAUUUCUCUGUAAGGGCUAUUGUUUAGUUAGAGUGCUGUGACAGUAGGACUACAAGUGAAUAGCAAAAGCAUAAAUUAGCGCAUUGGCAAAACACACCGCUUUCAAGCCUCAAGAGCAGCUGAACCUUUAAAGAGGAGUUGUGGUGAGACCAGGCAUAAUGACACCCAGCGUCGUACCUGUGUCCCCAUCUGUGACUCUCACCCCGGCUCACAGCUGUCUAUUAAGACUGGUCUCUUGAACACUACGCUCGGUUUCCCCCAGAGCGGAGGCAUGUCUGUCACUCUCCACCCCAAACUGCUUUGUAGGCAGGGGAAAAAUAAAACCCUGCACCCUGUUGUCCCCACAGCCUUCUGUGAAGUUCUCCAUCUUUCAGUACUCAUUGACUUAACACGUCAAGAAAAUCAAAUAUUCUUUCUCUUCAGAAAUCUGUUAAUUCAUUCAUGAAGACAUGUAUUAUUUACAAAGUCACACAUUGGAGUAGAUGCAGUUUUCAAGACUAUUAUUCAUUUCCAGGCUGCAUAGCGUCCUGGUCAAUUUAUAUUCAAUGCUGCUUUCUUGUUUAAUUAGCUCUUCUUUUUUUGGAUGCUUGCCCUUCUAUAUUAUUGUAGCCAGGAAAAAUAUGCUUUUCUACUCUUCCUUGUAAACUAUACAAGCCAAGGUCAUCAGAAAGCUGGCCAUCGCUUUUAUCUUAAUGAUACUCUCCCAAAUACAGUAUCAGUGGGUCAGGAAGUGAUAAUCAGAAGGGGCUCAUUCAAUGUUCCAGCCUGUCUACCUUUUAGAUUCUUUUAGGUUCCAUCCAGUCACAGAAAUGAUUAAUUUCUGGCAAUGAAAACUAUUACUACAAUUCAUCAAUACGGAUUUCCAAUAAUAAUUGGUUUUAAGGUUUGUUAUUGUUUUACGGUCUUCAGUGAGACAUGACCAGUGAAACUAGAUUUCUUUACAUCCUUCUAAUAUAAAAGUUGUUUCACUUUUGUGGAGUAAGUGAAUGUGGCCUCCCGUGAUCUCAUCGCCCUUAUUGAUGCAAGCCGUGGGAUAGAAAAACAACCCACACAAAAACACAGAACUGAGGCCUUGAUAUGCGGGACAGAAGGUCAGGGGCACAGCUGGAGCACCAAAGCAGAAGAGCGAGCUUAUCUAUGUUUAUACCAUAUGUGGAGCUGGUGCGAUAGAACACAUUCUGAGGCAGAGAGAAGGGAAAAAUACUUGCGCAGGAGGCAGCCUAUAUUAAGGCUGUUCUUUUGUGAAUAAACGGCUUUUUGGCUCUGCUUUUGCAUGAA